CGAUUUGUAUAAAAAUUUUACUGAUUUCGUAUUUUUUUUGCAAAAGUAUGUUAUUUUUUACAUUUCAUAGAUUAAAUCUAAAUUUUUAAUAAAUCGAUCAAAAUAUCUUUAUUCCUCUUUAUCUUUUCUUUCUCUCUCCCUCAUACGUUUUUCUCACCCCUCUCCAUUUUCUUCCUUUUCACCAUUCCUUUAUCUCUUCCUCCUCCAACUCUCUCUCCUUUCUCCACCGCCACCUCCCUACCCACCCCCCACU
Molecule: long non-coding RNA, 253 nt
Filed under: Ananas comosus (pineapple)
Lineage: Eukaryota; Viridiplantae; Streptophyta; Magnoliopsida; Poales; Bromeliaceae
Description: long non-coding RNA (ACOM_LNC009885)
Source: RNAcentral